Molecule: microRNA precursor, 194 nt
Filed under: Oryza glumipatula
Lineage: Eukaryota; Viridiplantae; Streptophyta; Magnoliopsida; Poales; Poaceae
Description: MIR812 microRNA precursor family
Rfam family: MIR812 microRNA precursor family
Source: Rfam by way of RNAcentral
AAUAAGUGUAGUUUUGUUUUUUUCAUAUCCAACGUUUAACCAUUUAUCUUAUUUAAAAAAAAUUAUAAUUAGUAUUUUUAUUGUUAUUAGAUGAUAAAGUAUGAAUAGUACUUUAUAUGUGACUAUUUUUUUAAAAAAGAAAAUUCAAAUAAAACGAUAGUCAAACAUUGGCCUCGAAAUUUGUCGUACAAAAU